RNAcentral lists this unclassified non-coding RNA (3643 nucleotides) under Hevea brasiliensis (rubber tree). The record is from RNAcentral. Lineage: Eukaryota; Viridiplantae; Streptophyta; Magnoliopsida; Malpighiales; Euphorbiaceae.
GAUAAACAAGCUGGACCUCGUUGCCAUGGUUCGAGUGGUGAGUAUUUCUUGGGAAAAAGGGGAAAAUCCAAGAGUGAUUUUUUUAUUUUCAUCUUCUUCCAUGGCAACUAAAUUUGAGUUACAAGUCUUCAUUGUUGCCGCCGGCUCCUCUAAAGACCUCCAUCUUCGCUGUCAACAUCUCUUUCUGUUAUCGCGAGUUGCUCGUAUUCCGACGAAACUGCAACUCCGGUCUUCAGCCCAAUAACCUUGGCAAGUCCAUAACCCAUACUUGAUUGCGCACUUUAUAGGCUGAAGAAUUGAGGGACGAAAGUGCAUUUGGAAUCGCGUUGUAGUCUGUGUCCAACAACAGUUUGUUCAUCAAAAUGCUCUUGUUUGUCUAUUAUGUUCAAUGGUAAUGGAAAAUGAAAUGUCAUCUUCAUCAAAGAACAGUUUAAAUGAUGGGAGUUUAACCAACAACGCCAUCCCAUGAGAAAGUUCCCUUAUUGCCAAAAGCCUAUAACUACCAUAGCUGAAACCGCCAAAAUACUACAAGAACAGCAGCAACUCAUCAAACUUAACUGCCAACUCGCAAGUCUCACGCAUUCAAACCAAUACAACGAUGCACUUCAUCUGUUUAAUAAAAUUCGCUCACUUCUUCACCACCUCAAACCAGACCAUUACACGCUCUCCACAACCCUCACUGCCUGUGCCAAUCUAUGCAACACCACAUUUGGCAGCAAGCUUCAUGCCCACGCCAUUAAAUCCAGCCUCAAAAGCUACCCUCACGUUUCAAAUACCCUCCUUUUGCUAUAUGCGAAAGUGCAAGACAUUGUCUCGGUGAAGUGGGUUUUUGGAGAAAUUGAAGACCCAGAUGUGUUUUCUUAUACAACGCUCUUAUCGGCAUGUACCAAGAUGGGACAUGUGGCCUAUGCCUUUGAGAUGUUUGUUGAAAUGCCACAGAAAGAUGUGGCUGUGUGGAAUGCAAUGAUUACAGGGUGUGUGGAGAGUGGGAACAAAGAGAUUGGAUUUGGUUUGUUCAGAGAUAUGUGUAGAUUGGGUGUUAGACAUGAUAAUUAUAGCUUUGCGAGUGUUCUAAGUGGGUGUAACUUGUUCACUGUGGAUUUUGGUUUGCAGGUUCAUUCAUUAGCGAUUAAAACUGGAUCUUUGGUUAGAAUUUCUGUUGUUAAUGCUUUGGUUACUAUGUAUUUUAACUGUGAAAAUGUUGAGGAUGCUUAUUUUGUGUUUGAUGAAGUAGAAGAUUCAAUACAUGAUCAGAUUACUUACAAUGUGAUGAUUAAUGGUUUGGUGAGCGUGGGGAGAGUUGAAGAAGCCUUGAUAAUGUUUAGAAAAAUGCUAGGGAACGGUCUUAGGCCUACUGAGUUUACUUUUGUAAGUUUGAUGAGCUCAUGCUUGUAUGCAGGAGUUGGGUAUCAAUUUCAUGCCCAAGCUAUCAAGAUUGGCUUUGAAGCUCAUACUUCCUUGAGCAAUGCAACUAUAAAUAUGUAUUCAAGUUGUGGGGACUUGAGUUCAGCCUGUAUGGUUUUCCAGAGACUGGAAGGGAAGGAUAUUGUCUCGUGGAAUACUAUGAUAUCCAGCUAUGCACAAGAAAAUUUUGGUACAUCAGCAAUUUUGACCUACCUAGAAAUGCAGAGAACUGGUAUUAGACCAGAUGAGUUUACUUUUGGAAGCUUGUUGGCUGGCUCAGAGCUUGUAGAAACUGUGGAGAUGAUUCAUUCCCUAUUAUUUAGAAACAGUCUCAUUUCAAAUAUACAAGUUUCAAAUGCUUUAAUUUCUGCAUAUUCCAAGCUUGGGAAUAUGAAGCAGGCUUAUCAAAUAUUUUGUGACCAGUUUUAUAGAAAUUUGAUCUCCUGGAAUACUAUUAUUUCCGGGUUCCUGUUAAAUGGGCUCCCAAUGCAAGGAUUAGAGCAAUUCUCUGAACUGCUGAUGUCAGAAUUCAGGCCAAAUGAGUAUACCCUCAGUAUUAUUUUAAGUAUUUGUGCAAGCAUAUUAGCUUUGAGACAAGGGAAACAGGUUCAUGGUUAUAUUAUGAGAUUAGGAUUCAGUUCAAAAAGUUCUUUGGGUAAUGCCCUUAUCACAAUGUAUGCCAAAUGUGGGCUUAUGCAUUGGUCUUUGAGGGUAUUCAAUGCAAUGACCAAAAGAGAUUUAGUUUCAUGGAAUGCCUUGAUAUCUGCUUAUGCACAACAUGGGAAAGGAAAUGAAGCUGUGCACUGGUUUGAGGCAAUGCAAGACUCCUGUGGGGUCCAACCAGAUGAGGCGACCUUUACAAUAAUUCUUUCUGCUUGCAGCCAUGCAGGUUUAGUUGAUGAUGGCAUUCGGAUUUUCAACUCCAUGGUUUGUAAGUGUGGUGUUGUUCCUGGGGUUGGUCAUUUUUCUUGUAUUGUUGACCUUUUAGGUCGUGCUGGGCAUUUCGAUGAAGUGGAAAUGAUAAUGAACAAUGAACAUUUUGAACCUCAUCCCAACAUCUGGUGGACAUUGUUAAGUGCUUGUGCAGCUCAUGGUAAUUUAAAGCUUGGAAGAUUAGUCGCUGGGUUUCUUCUUGAAACAGAACAAGAUAAUCCAUCAGUUUAUGUACUAUUGUCAAAUAUGUAUGCAGCUGCUGGUCAAUGGGAAGAAGCAGCUAAUGUAAGGUACUUGAUGAAUAACACCAGGGCGAUGAAGCAAACUGGGUAUAGUUGGAUCAGCUCAUGAAAAGAAUAUGCACCUGGGUUGAAUUUUAGGCUGGAUGUGCAAGUGAGGGAUGAAAUUUACCGUAGUUAUGAGAAACAUUAUGAUCUUCCCUGAAAUGUAAAGUUGGGUUAUUAUGAGUGGCGUUUCACCAUGACCCACUCUGGGUUAUUUCGUUCAAUGAAAUGUGUGUUAGAAUCUUCAGAUGAAUCCUUUAGCUUUGGAAAUAACUCUCACUAAUGUCAUUAAAGUGUUGGAAAGCAAGCAAAGACAUCCCGUGCUGGAGAAUUACUUGAUUACUACAUAAGGGAGCCUCAAUAGACAAUAUCCAUUUCAAUAAUGUUUGAGGGGAUUACAAGAUUAGAGAUUUGGAAGUAAACAAGUACCUAGCCCUGGAAAAUAUUUGGAAACCCGCAUUUCUCUAUCAAUCGAAAUGUCAGAGGUCCGAGUGAACAUAAGAGCUGCAGAUAGACCAAGGGAUCCGGCCAGGUGGAGUGAGAUUGCUGUUGUUGUAUCUGCAUUAUCUGUUCCAGUCAUUGCUAAUGGAGAUGUAUUUGAUUAUGGUGAUUUUGAACGAAUUGAAGUUGCAACAGGUGCAUCAUCAGUGAUUGUUGCAAGAGGAGCUCUAUUGAAUGCUUCUGUUUUCUCUCCUGAUGGCAAAGGGUACUGGGAAGAGGUCAAGGGAGAUUGUGUCAAAAAGGUUAGCCGGUAGCCACUGCCAGUGACUCCCUCAAAUGAAACGAGGAUAUUUAUUUUUAUUAUUUCCUUUCUGAAACAAGCUGAAAAUUUUCUCUUUGGGCGUCCCAUACAUUUUGGUUGAUAUCACUGUACGUCUUGUCAUGCAGUUUAAGUUUGCAACGAACCAGGAAUCUUGGUGAGCUUACAUGUUUUUGCAACUUUGAUUUCAGAGUAUCUUAUUGGACAAUGAUGUGAAAAGUACAAAGCACCCAUUGAGGGAAAUGAUUAUGCAUUAUUCUUG